RNAcentral lists this long non-coding RNA (856 nucleotides) under Panax ginseng (ginseng). Its description in RNAcentral is "long non-coding RNA (PGIN_LNC003793)". The record is from RNAcentral. Lineage: Eukaryota; Viridiplantae; Streptophyta; Magnoliopsida; Apiales; Araliaceae.
AUUUUCUAAGUGUUAAUUUUUCUGACAAGGUUUGACCAUACUUUAGAUGCUUGAUUUAUUGUUGUUAUGAUUAUUUUAAGUGUUAGAGUUGUAGUCCUACAUGUUGUCUACACACUGGAAUUGAUAGAUCACGUAAACAUUUCACGAUCAAGUUAUAGAAGUCCAAAGUAGGCAUCACGAACUGUUCUUCACGAAGAACAGCUCUGAUAGCUACUUUGAGGUACGAUUUCCCCCAGAUCUGAUGUUUUUUAGAGGUUAUGAUUGUUGGUAAUUGUAGUCUGGUAUUUCCUCUAGAAGAUCCAAGUCAUAGAUUGCCCAGAUUCAUUAAGACCAAAAUGUUAUUCAUGGUCAAAGUAGCCCCCUUGAACUGUCUCUGACAGUGUUCUUGAGAUGAAGAACACCUAUAGCGACGGUUGUCUGUCGCUAUAGCCUUUAGCGACGGAUUUUAUUUAUUUUAUUUUCUGUAAUUUCUGGAAAAUGAUUUAAAAAUUAGAAAAAAAUAGAUUUUAAUUAUUAAAAGUACUUAUUAAAUUCUAAAAAAAUUAUUUUAAAUUCCGAAAAAUAUUAUUUAAUUAUUUUGAGUAUAUUUCAUAAAUAUUUAAUAUUUUUGGAAUAUAAAAGGUAUUUAUUUAUUUAAUUAUAAUAUUAAAUAAAUGAUUUAAAAAUAGUUUUAAUUCAUGAAAAAUCAUGAAAAAUUAUAUUAUGGUAUAAGAAAAUAUUUUAAGUUAUUUGUGAUGACUUUUAAUAUUUUGUGAUGAAUUUCAUUAAUUAAUUAUAUAUUAAUGAUAUUAAAGUUAUUUAUUGAUUAUAUUAAAUAAUUAGUUUAAAAAUGAUUUUAAUAUUUUAAAAAUCAUUU